GACGAACGCUGGCGGCGUGCUUAACACAUGCAAGUCGAACGGUAAGGCCCUUCGGGGCACACGAGUGGCGAACGGGUGAGUAACACGUGGGGGAUCUGCCCUGCACUUCGGGAUAAGCCUGGGAAACUGGGUCUAAUACCGGGUAGGAACUCGGCCCGCAUGGGUGGUGGUGGAAAGCUUUUGCGGUGUUGGAUGGGCCCGCGGCCUAUCAGCUUGUUGGUGGGGUGAGGGCCGACCAAGGCGACGACGGGUAGCCGGCCUGAGAGGGUGACCGGCCACACGGGGACUGAGAUACGGCCCAGACUCCUACGGGAGGCAGCAGUGGGGAAUAUUGCACAAUGGGCGCAAGCCUGAUGCAGCGACGCCGCGUGAGGGAUGACGGCCUUCGGGUUGUAAACCUCUUUCAGCACCGACGAAGCGCAAGUGACGGUAGGUGCAGAAGAAGGACCGGCCAACUACGUGCCAGCAGCCGCCGUAA
RNAcentral lists this ribosomal RNA (478 nucleotides) under uncultured bacterium. Its description in RNAcentral is "partial 16S ribosomal RNA". It matches the Rfam family "Bacterial small subunit ribosomal RNA", at positions 28 to 523 of the family's 1533-position model. The record is from RNAcentral.